AGCGAACGCUGGCGGCAGGCCUAACACAUGCAAGUCGAGCGCCGUAGCAAUACGGAGCGGCAGACGGGAUAGUAACACGUGGGAACGUGCCCUUUGGUUCGGAAUAACUCAGGGAAACUUGAGCUAAUACCGGAUAAGCCCUUACGGGGAAAGAUUUAUUGCCAUUGGAGCGGCCCGCGUCGGAUUAGCUAGUUGGUGAGGUAAUGGCUCACCAAGGCGACGAUCCGUAGCUGGUCUGAGAGGAUGACCAGCAUCACCGGGACUGAGACACGGCCCAGACUCCUACGGGAGGCAGCAGUGGGGAAUAUUGGACAAUGGGCGCAAGCCUGAUCCAGCCAUGCCGCGUGGAUGAUGAAGGCCCUAGGGUUGUAAAGUCCUUUUAACGGGGAAGAUAAUGACGGUACCCGUAGAAUAAGCCCCGGCUAACUUCGUGCCAGCCGCCGCGGUAA
Molecule: ribosomal RNA, 449 nt
Filed under: uncultured bacterium
Lineage: Bacteria
Description: partial 16S ribosomal RNA
Rfam family: Bacterial small subunit ribosomal RNA
Source: RNAcentral